UUGACCGUUCAAAAGAUGGUCGGCUGUCCUUCGCUGACGAUCCCCCAGAAACCCUAGUCUGUCUCUACAGGUGGGCGACGAGCCGACGACCUACACAGCCGCCGCCAUUGCUGUGCUCGAUUUCCCAGCUAUCGCCGACCGCUCUCCACGCUCCCUAGACCCUUCUGCUGCUUCCGCGCCCGCGCCACCACUUCCCCUGCAACUGAGGUCCACUCCUUCCUUGAAUUGAGGUGAGAUUUUGGCUAACUUACGGCUUACCUAUGAGGAAUAGGCUGUGCUUAAAAUGGUCUAUGUUUCGAUCGAGUUUGUACUUUCUGUUUGCUCUUGUCCCGGUGAAAUCUUCUUAUAUGAGGGCUUACCAAUCGAUCUAUGUUGCUGUAUAAGUCUCUGUUACUCCUGGUUUCGAUGAAUGGACCGGGAAGGCUUCGCCUGCCUAUUCAUCAUCUAAAAAAAACGCUGUGCUUAUAAAAUACUCCCCUCAAGUGAAUAGUAACUUAUUACUGUAACCCGUACGCCUUGUAAUUUCUGCCAAGCACUGCUACGCAACUAUUACAAGUCAAUUCGUAGAGGCUAAUGAACAAUGGCUCACCGAAAAAUCCAUUGCUCCAGAGUCUUCUCGCAUACAUGAUUCAUGUCUGAAUACUACUGCCAGCCCCUAUGAGCAACUCUAACAGAUGUGCCUUAUUUGUGGCCUCGGAGACCGUUUUGGCGGGAGCUCCAUAAUUUUUGAGAGAUUGUGGAAGUUACAUGGAAACGCAUAAUUAUCAUAUGCAGCCUUCAUAAUAUUUUCCCUCUUCAUUUCAUUUUUGUUCAUGUGCAUUCACAAAAUAUUCAUACUUCCAAUUGGAGAGAUGAAGUUCUACCAACAUUUAAAUACAAAGUUCUUAUAUAAGGGGCGGGAGUGUCUGUAAGCGACAUUUUCAUACACAAGUGGAACGGGGAGAGGGGACCAACCGUUUUCACUUUUACAUAUAUGUAGGGGAUGAGGAUAAUUUUAGUAGUAGAUAGUUAUGAGAUGAUUAGUAGGGGUAGUGAGGACUAGGAGCACUUCUUGAGCGACCUAAUAGAUGUGGUCAUAUUCCCUUGCAACGCGAAAUUGCGAAAUAGCACCUUUCCCAGGCCGACCAUGUGCCGUUGUCGAUGUUGUGGGUGGCUUGCCCACAGCGCGUGCGGGGGGGGGGGGNNNNNNNNNNNNNNNNNNNNNNNNNNNNNNNNNNNNNNNNNNNNNNNNNNNNNNNNNNNNNNNNNNNNNNNNNNNNNNNNNNNNNNNNNNNNNNNNNNNNNNNNNNNNNNNNNNNNNNNNNNNNNNNNNNNNNNNNNNNNNNNNNNNNNNNNNNNNNNNNNNNNNNNNNNNNNNNNNNNNNNNNNNNNNNNNNNNNNNNNNNNGGGGGGGGGGGGGGUGUGACCCUAGAUGGCUCACUGCCUCUCCACUCUGUACCACCAACACACCGUCACCUUGUAGUCUAACCAAACGACACUCCUUUGCCGAUAUAGCCACCUCAUGGUCUGCCUAGAUACCGUGCUCCCUCUUCGCCGCUAACGAUCAUCCUAUCAGGUUUGACGGUCGACGAAGCCGUCGUGAAAGGCAUGUCAAUCCUCCCUAGCAGUGUGGAACCGGCGGGAAACAAGACGUUGUUGGGCAUACAUAUGACAUUGAGUGACCAAUAUCGUUGGAGUCGUUGGUACGUACUUGAGAAGGGGAUCAUCGACCUCAGCGUCAUCCUCGGAGUCAGCGUAUCUAGCAUGUCCUGGCAAUCCUACUCAUCCUCCUUGGCGAGAUCGAUCUCCUCCUGCACAGCCUCCUUGUCCAAUUAUUGUGCCUCCUCCUCUAUGGGUGGCCAUAGCACCCACUCUGUCCUUUGCCACAUUGGCAUGGUGAGAACAACAAUAGUAGUAUUCAGAUAAGGAAAGGGAGAAGGCCAGGAUAUAAAGUGAAGUUGUAGAUAGAGACGGAAGGUGCCGACCUCUUUAUAUCCAUUGGUGGCGUGAAAUGUCAUGCAUCAUUGAAAGGGGCGGAAAAAAUGUGGCAGGAACGAUCAUGGGUAGUUGGGAAGUGGCCAUGUGGUUGGAGAGGAAGGGAGGGGGUGGAGAAACAGAGAGACUUCCCUCCUGCAUUGGCGGUUGGGUUUGGAGUGUGCUCCAAAACAAUGGCCCAAGCACAAAAUAUGGAGCUAUGACCACAGUUUUGGAGGCUGAUACAACAAAUAUGGGGAACCAGAUUGAUGUAUCGACCAUGCUAGAGAGGUUUUGUCGAGAAUUCUUGCCAAAACAUUAGUUAUUACUUAUUACUAUUACAACAAUCAGCUCCUUUUGGCUACAAAUCACCACUCCUCGUACAUCCUAUGUGACUCCUAGAAAUAAUGAAAUCUUGACUAUUUAGACUCUUAUCCAACUCUCAUACCAACAAUCCCCAGUUCCCACAGCCGCCUCCCUCUGUGUCGGGCUUCCACCAACUACUUAUUGUACUACCUUGUCACCUCCAAUAUUCCACCCAUCGGAGGAGGUUGUGUCGAUGCUAUACUGAUCACCCAUCAUCACUUGCAUUUUAGACUCAUUUCUCUACUUUUUCAAAAUAUAAAUGGCAUAUAGUGUAUCCAUUAGAUAUCCAAUGGGUACAGGAUACGCGAUGGGUAUGGGUAUGGGCAUGGGUGUCAAUCUGUGCCCAUGGGUAAUGAAAUGAGUGGGUAUAGAAAGUUUUUGUGGGUAUGAGUUUGGAAAGAAGAGGGUCAUAACCACCCAUACCCUACCAUUGUCAUCCCUAAUUUAUUUUUAUCUGCAAUAAGAGUAUGGUACAAUACAAUCAAGUUAUAGUGCCUUUUCGUUGUGGUUGUUGUUGCUUCAAAUGCACCUAACUACGAAAAAGAUUCGAAGAUGAGAAACAUAUUAUUAAUAUACAUAAAAAUGUGUGGAACAGUAAUAUAUAUUGAAUAGCAUGUAGUAUAUGAGACUAUUAGGGGGAAAUUGUAGAAUGUCCAUAGUACAUGGAAAAGGAAACAACAACACACAACACCAAAGCUUUUCAAUCCCAAACCAUUUGGGAUAGGUCAGAUAUGAAAACCAUAAGAUCUUGAAACCAAUUCAUGGUUCUCACAUGUGGACAGCUAACUUCCACACACACCUUUCUAUUUCAUAAAGGAAACAAGAAAUUAAAGCCACAAUGCAAUAGAAAAGACAAUCAACACAAUUAAUUGGCUAAGUAGUAUGCUUUCAGAUAAUACAAUCAACACAAUUCAGUAGUUUCAUUGUUCUCAAGAACUUGGUGAAAAAGCAUAAUACACAACCGAAAAUUCAUAUAAAAUCUUAAAUUGGGCUCCCGCUGAUUUCUUUAUCCCAAAAUGUCAAAUAUCUUCAAUUCCAUUAGGAGCCUAUAACUUGAAAUAACUAUCACAUUAAUACAAAUCUUAGCAUAAUAUGACAAUUUUUCAAACAAAAAGUAAGACAAUUAUUUACCACUACGUUGUAGUUAUAGGAGGGUGAUUGUGUAGACGGCUUCUAUGAUUUCUUAGGCAAUGAAAUUAUUCUAUAAUGUUCUGGUCUACAAUUCUAGUAAAUAUAUCUCGUUCAAUAUAGCAUACGGUCAUAUCAUUCAAUCAUUCUCUACCUACGUUGUUACUCAAAUAUGUCUUUGCUACCAUGGCUGAGAGAGCGCUUCUAAUUGAUGGUCUCGCUAGUACCAACAAUAUCAUUGCAAGCUUGAUGAGUGUAUAAACCAGUGGAAAACACAGACACUCCUUAGUUUGAACUGACUUGAUACACAUACUUGAUAGACUAUCACAAGCACAAAAAAAUAGGAGAUGCUUUCAUCAUAUCAAUGCAUAUGCCAAGCUGACCACUCAAAAUUUCACAUUCUUCCACAUAAAAUUCAGCGUAGUAAAUACUUGCAAUCUCAAUUGCCUUCUCAUGAUUAAAGCUACUUAACGAGUCUCUAGCAUCUAGAGACGAAAUGCAAAUCAAUAACCAGGUUGUUAUUUCAAUGAAUCAUUGCAAAGCUACUGAAUAUUUUUACCUUGUACUGACGGAAGGUAGUGAUGGAAGCAAGUAAUAGACUUGCGUGAACUCAUUGGAUAACCCCUUGCUCAAAAAUCUCUUUGAAUGCAAUAUACAAUUAUAAAGUCCAUAAUUGGCUCACACUCUUCAUCCCUGAAAUUUCGCAAUAACCUUUUCACACACAAAAUCAUGUUCAUUGCACUAGCUAUGUGCUGGUCCUUUUGUUGCAAUGGUUUUGACAAAUAAUUAGCCAAACUAAGGAUAAUCAUCACGUGCAAGAUAAGCACAAUUUCAAAGACUAACAUUUAUUUGGUCAAACCUGGUGAUUGGGUUUAGAGUUCUUUGGUACGAUCCCCAACGUGUAUCAGCAGGUAUUCCUACAGUUGUCUCUUGUGGUUUUCCCCUGCCUUUCAUAAGAUCCCUAUUUUCCAAUAUUUUCAUAAUCUUGUCAUGAUGUUUCUGUAGGACUACUUUCGCAACAACUAGUGGAACCUACUGGUCAAAAGAAUGCACAUAAAAUGCAUGAUAUUGUCAUCUAGCACUAGUUCUGUUAAACCAUUCGGCCGCCCACAUAUAUUUGAGGUUCUAUCAUAUCCUGGACCUCUUAGUCUAGAAAUGGUCAAAUUAUGGGUAGAAACCACUUUAUCCACAUAUCGUUUGAGAGCAGCAGAUCUAGUGCCAAGAACAUGCUCUAACACAUAUAUAUCAGUCUUUCUAAGGUCUGCCAUUGAUUAAUGGUUAUUCGUAAACCUCACAAUCACAUCCUCUUCCUCCUUGAUCGAUUCAUCACAGGACUCAUCAACAAGCGAUAAUUGAGAAUUCCCAGCUCAUUCAUCAUGAAUUCAAUAGUUUCUUCAGCACAAGCUUGCACCAAUUGCUUUUGUGUAUCAUUACAAGCCAUUUGAUGACUUGUAGGAGCAUUCUCAUGGAUAACACCAGCUGCUUCUUUACAUCUUCAGCACACCAGUUUACAUGUCAUAAAUUAACCUUAUAUCUUAUAUUCUUAGACCCAUCAUGACCACAUAAAGCAGGACUGUGCCUAAGAAGAAACCUUCAGUCCUACAACAGCCAUCAAACGAUCCUGGUAUCUUAUUCCCAGUUUAAGUAGUGAUUCAUAUGCCACACUUUGUCUUUGAUUGUUUAAAUCUCCACAAUGUAUUAUCUGAAUUGUUGUAAUCACUCUUUGUUGAUCCUCCAUGGAAUCUGCAGUUUGUGAAUAUUCACCCUCAAACAUUCAACAGAUUGUUGGUUUCUUGAAAUGAAAAUGAUAAAAAAAACAAUAAGCAAUACUUUUGGCUACACUGAUCUCUAGCCAACCAAACUUCUUAUACCAUAUAGCUCUAAAUGCCCUGUCAUCUUCAUUGUGUUUAAAAUAAUGAUCUUUAGGCUGACAUGGACCUUUCUUGCAGACAUACCCUCCUGACAUCGUCUUUGAUUUCUAAGUAGCAUACUCUUUAAUUUGUUUCCUAAGGCCCAGAACAACUUCAAUGUCAACUUGAUUAAAUCUCUGAAGAACAUUAGCUUGCAAAUUGUUUGUAUCAGUCUCUUGAUUACAUUAGCUUGCAAAUUGUUUGUAUUAGCGUCUGGAAUGGUUGCCUUUACUUGAGAGAGAUUCUUGAAUUGGGGGUCCGGACUGAUUUACCAGGCGAACUCUGAGAAAAAGAAGGAAUGUGAUUCAUCUUCUUAGGUCCCUAUAACAUCAAAUUUGGUAAUUGCUUGUCAGCAUCCAACUUUCAAUAAUUAGGCAAAUGUGACAAGAAAUUUAACGAAUGGUGAAUGGAAGAAGAGGAUUCAGGGAGUGUGGAACAACCUGUUGCAUGCUGCCUUUGUUCGUUGGUUGCUUGCAAUUUUUAGUGGGUCGCAUGGCUGUGGCGAUGCUGCCUCCAGUGCAGACAACGGCCUGAGCAGGAACAGGUGGAGUUCCAUCCAUCCAGUGUCGUUAGCUCGACUUGGGCAACGUUGCGGUAAGGCGACGAGCUGGGGUGCGUGGUGGCCGUUACUGCCUGAUCGGUUCUCUGGUCGAUCAUCAUCUGGAAACCCACGUGUGUGUGUGCGCGCGCGCUUGCGGGGAGGGGGGGGGGUCAUGGCCGCAAGGUUAAUGGGCUCAUGUAACUCGGCAUUUACUGCCAAAUGCUAUGAAUUACUUGCUAGUCCAACCCACAAACGAAUCACUGUCUUCCCUUUUCUCAUCUUUCUGCUCACCAUUUCCUGAUCAGGAUUUACUGUUAGGUUCCAAGAUUUUACACGACCGCGUGCUAUAAUUCUACACCUAUUCUCUUCUUAUUUUCUUAUUUUGUUGAAAUUAAUAGUCAUAAAUAUCAUAGAAAAAGGCAGAAAGAAGUGGGUUUAUUGAUGUCAUUUAUGUAGUUGUAGACUGACGAUUGUGCGCUUUUGCAAGUGACUUAUACUUGGCGUUAUGCAUUUUUAGUAAUGCAGUGUGUGGUACUUUAUCUUUUAGUUUUGUAAAAAAGUAAAUAAUGGAUAUCCUGCGGUUGAUAAGACAACAUAUCCCUGCAAAUUAAAUACAGUUUUAUGUGCUUCCAUUGGACCUGCAUCAUGGACCAUAAAGUAUAUUUGUAUAUGCAUCCCCGGCCGAUAAAACUGUGUUUUUUAAUUCUUGUUAGCAUGGAUUCGGACCGAGAAGAGAUCAAUGUUGUGGAGAUAAAAGAUUACACGUCAGAUAAUGAUGAAGAAAAGGUUGCUAAAGAAAAGGUUGCUAAAGAAAAGGAUGCUGAAGAAGAGCAUCUCGAGUUGGUAGUUGAUCAAGCUACUGGUAAGGCCAAAUACCGAAAAAGGCUUUCGGGCGCUAGCAAGUGAGUGUUGUAUGCAAUAGAAGCACAUGAUAUUCUUGUGAUUGACCAGUGGUUGCUGGGUUUCGAUUGAGUUAAACUGUAUUUGGUAAUAAACAAAUAAAGUUUAGAUAGUGUUAUUUGACAGUUUUUUUCGUCCUCUUUGAGUGCCCUCUUAUGCUAAAUGAUUUAGAUAUCUUCUUACAAAUCAGUACUUGUUUCUUUUCCAAAAUUCUCGUUAAGUAGAAUAUGUACUCCUGAUAAUUAAAAUGGCUAAUUGUUAGGUAACAGAGCACCAUUUUAUGUAAGGUAUGAGGAUUGGAUGAUUAGCAAGAUAAAUGGUCAAACAGUAGUAUGUUUGCAGCUGUAUUGAGGUAGAAGCAAGAUGGGUGUUGAAAUGGAUUCCUGAACUUCCAAAUUUGAUUUCGACAUAGUGCAGCUUAAAGGAAAGCAAUACACCCUAGUUUUUAAAAUCUGAAAUAAAACUAUUUGCACAGUAAUUUACAUCAAGGUCGAUUCUGUGAGCCUUGUUUGAAAAAAUAUGCAAUCUGCUGGCGUAUUGGUUUUUAUAAGGUUGUCAGUUGUUGAGUGGUUGUUCACCAUUGGAAACUUGAGAAACAAGGACUCGGAAUUAGUCAAGAAAAGCUUAAUUUUAUUCUAUCUUGCAGGCCACUUCUAAGGCACGUUGCGCAUUAACUAUUGAAGGCCCAGUAGGAGGCCCACCUUUGGAUUUUAGCAUUUGACCCGAAACAAAUUUUAAGAAAUCCCACGAAAAAACAAUUAUAAACAUCACUAUCAGAUUCAUCUAUCCCACCUUCUUCUCCAAGGCCUUUCGCAGAUGACCGGCCGCAGUCGGCGUGCUUAACUUUUCAUCACCAUGAUCAGCCGCACACGCAUGAUCUGUUGGUCGCAACACCAGGGUCGUAUCCUCGGGGACGACGCACGACGCCCUGCCAUUCAUGGACGUAGCUAGGCUACCCAACCACAGGUCGACGAGUAUCUUGGGCUGGCCGCUGGUGCUGGUUGGCGGUGGCCCAUGCAUGACCUAAAUGCUUCCUUCUGCCAUUUACAUGCUAUAGCCCUUCUCACGGACCAACCUUGCGAGAUACUUCCUCUGUAAACUUUUAUAAGAACUUCUAGAUCACGUAGGGAGUACUUCAGAAGCAUACACAUCCUUGCAUGAACAAUUUAGACCGACUUGAUACAGUUUGCUCGCUGAUCUCUCUGUUCAUUAUCUCAUAUUGUUUCAUUUCCAAACGCACGUCGGCCAGCCCAGAUGGACGUAGCGUCAUUUUGAUGGCUCUGUGCAUGAUCAACCAACAGGAUUGUGCUCCUCUCCAUGUGAACGGAGGAUCCGAUUUGCUUUUAGAAAAACAGAGGAUCCGGUGUCUACCCCGUGCGUUCUCUUCUUCACAAGGAACCGCCGUCUACUCGACCCUCCUCCGAGUCCAUGUCCUGGUCUUGGGUCUAUUAGCAUGCUCAUAUAGUUAGCUUCUUUUAGCAUUCUCAUAUUGUCAAUUCCGAACCCUGAUGCUAGAAGUUUCAUACUGCUAAAAAUGAAAGAACCAAAUUGAAACCUAGACCUCUGGAUUUCCGCAGGUUACUAUGACAACAAAUGAAAGGAAUCUAGCUGGGUGAAAUAAGAUGAAUGCAUGGCAGGAUCGAUCGUUGGUACUUCUUUUUAUUGUGACCAUCACGUUGCGUAUAACCAUAGUUGGCAGCGUGCCAGCGUACAUGCGUCGAAUUGCCUACUUGAGCCAGCCAGCCUUUGGCUAACGACCAUCUGGGAUAUUGAUCGGCAAGCCGACGGACUUCAUGCAACAACAAAUACCAAGGAUCGGACAUGCAGAUCGUCUAUAGUACUAGAAAUUUGACGGCACAGCAAAAGUAAGGACCUGAAUUACAUAGCAUGGAGAAGGAGACAUGCAUACCCUGUUGGUUUUGGCGCCAAAGCUGCAUGGUCCGUGAGACCAUGACACAGGAGGAAGGUCAGGCCCGCCUGAUCAGGGGUACAACUCCGACUUCCAUAUGCGGAAGAUGCUUAUUGCGAGAGAAGCGAAUGCCGGAGCUGGAACUGACUAUAUCACCUGAGCUGAAGUCCUCUCUAUCUCUCUUUCUCCGUCGCCGGUUGGUGCUUGCCGACGGUCACAAUGCUUAUUAUUAUAUGUUACAGGCUUUGGCUAAGUGCGCCGCUGAUCGAUGUUCCACAUUGACAAAUAAUAUAUUAAAUUAUAGCCAUGUCUGAUGGGUGUAUCCUGUAUCGUAUGAUUGAAUGUUUCGUAAUCGCAGGAGCACAAUAUGCCCUUCUCGCUCACCCUGAUGAUCGAAGACGAUGCCAUCCGUGUCCUGAAGCGAGAGAUGUUCCACAAGUACUCCCUCUCUCCCAAAAUAAAUGUUUUGUUUUAUAUUAAUUUAAAAAUAAAAUUGUAUUAGAAUUCAGACACUUAUUUUGAGAUAGAGGGGUAUGUCUUUUUGUCACGCACUUGUAAUUUGUGGGCUUGUCGUGAAUGUUUUUCUUAUCUUGUGCGCCUCACUGUGAAACACAACACAUUUUUUACUUUUGCUGUAACCGACAUUUUCUAACACAACAGUUGCAAACGCUCGUAUAUACGCGCAUACACUUACAUUUAUCACUAAUAGAAAACAGACCUUUCGACCGAAGCAUCACUCCCGGUUGGCUUUUGGACAGGGACUAAUGCUGUCACUAGUCCCGGUUCAUGAGGCUAGGAUUUAAUCCCGGUUCGUGUUAUCAACAGGGACUAAAGGGGUGGUGGCAGGCUGGUGUCGGACUGGGGCCCUGCGAGCUCCUUUAGUCCCGGUUUCUAACUCCAACCUGGACUAGAGAUGGAUCUAUAGUCCCAGUUUGUAGUAUCAACUAGGACUAAAUAUAUCCCUAUAUAUAGAUGCUUCUCCCGGCCCGAGCUCAUCCUCUUCAUUCUCUGUUUUCUCUUCCCCUUCUCGAGCUCAUCCCUCCAUUUUUGCUAAAAUUUGUCAAGAUUUGAGGCACCCCAUUUAUUCAAGUGUUCAGAAAGGUUAGCAACUUUGUCCUUUCAUCUCUCAUUGCUAGAUUAGCUCGUUCAAUGCUCUAUAAGUAUAGUGAUUUAUGGAUUCUAGUUUGGGAGUAAUUAUGUGGGAGUCUAUUUGAUUUAUACACUAGUAAAAAACAGGGCUUUCGUCCCAGCUCGAUUUACACAUUAGUCUCGGUUUCAUUACGAACCGGGACUAGCAUUAGUCCCGGUUCGAGCGGCAAGGGCGUCGGUCGGGCAUCAGUCCCGGUUCAAAUGGGACCUUUAGUCCCGGUUCGUGUCUCGAACCGGGACUAAAGGGUUUGGAGGCUUUAGUCUCGAGACACGAACCGGGACUAAAGGGGUUCUGAAUUUUUCUUUUCGUUUUUGUUUUUAAAAUUGUUUUCUAUUUGUAGUUUCUGUUUUAAAUUGCUUAUAUCUUUUAGGAUAUUUGAUGUUUUUGAGUGAUCCUUUUUGUACUAGAUUCAAAAUUUUAUCUACUUUCUGUUUGUGCCAUUAGUUUUCAAAUUUCAAUGGUUUAAAUUUGAAUUUGUUCAAAUUUCCUUUUUACCCAGAUUGUGAAUAACUUGAAUUUACAAAUAGUUUUUAAUUUAAUUGUUUUUGCUCCUAGUCAUGUGUUAGAUUGUUGUCACAGUAAGAUUUAUUUGGUUAUUUUUAGAAUAAUCUAAAUGAUUAUUUUAAUUAAAACAAUAUUGUUUUGCUUAUAUAGUUGUUUUAGUCAUUUAAUUAUUUUUUUUAGUUAGUUCUUUCUGUAGAUUUUAACAUGUUGUAGUAUGGUGUAUACUGAAUGCACAAAAAGUCUGGAGUUGAAAUAAUUUUUAAAAAAUGCCUUUGUAGCAGAUGGGUCUUCAUCAGAAACCUUGAUACUUCAAAGGAGAUGAUCCAGUUUGUACACGAAGUGCAUCCAGUUUUUGUCGUAACCCUCUCAACUUCGUAGCACAUGCCAUGUGGGUGAAAUGAUGAUACCAUGACAAGUUUCAGCCUUUUUAGAGUUCAUUUGUAGCGCUUUUCAAUUUCAGGGUCAUUUUGCUCAAAAAAUCAUUAAAUGCAUGGAAAAUAGAAAAUGAGGCGAGAAAGGGUUGAAAAUUUAUGAGGUGGCUUUGAAUGAUGCAUAUUAAACAUACAAAAAGUAUGGAGUUGAAAUAAGUUCAAAAAAAUGAAAUCCCUUUGUAAGAGAUGAGUUCUCCUUCGAAACCCUGAUACUUGGAAAGAGAUUUUUCAUUUUGUACACGAAGUGCAUCCAGUUUUUGUCGUAACCCUCUCAAUUUUUUAGCACAAGCUAUGUGGGUGAAAUGAUGAUACCAUGUCAAGUUUCAACAUUUUCAGAGUUCAUUACAGUGCUUUUUAAUUUCUGAGUCAUUUAGAUGUAAAAAAUCAUUAAAUGCAUGAAAAAUUAGCAAAUGAAGUUAGAAAGGGUUAACUCUGGCUUGGUUAACCUUAGUUGUGACUCUGGCGGGGUGCUAGCAGAUGUAUUUGACGGGUAUGAUUGGACUCUUGGCUAAAUGGGGAUUUUGAAAUUUUCAAACUCUACGCCCCCCCCCCCCUCCCCGACCUUUUUUUAGUUUUUUAGAAAAUACACAAAAAAGAUAAAAUCUUCAAAAAAUAAAAUCCUUUGAGAUGUAGUUAGGUUUUAGUGUCUAGUUGGUAUAGAAAUUUUGAGAUAUGAAUUUUGACCUUUUUUGCAAAAAAAGAAAUAAAAAUGUAAAACGUCCAUAACUUUUGCAUACGACGUAAAACAAAUUUAAUAUAUCAAAAAAAACUAGAGAAAAAUUGGGACUCAAUUUCACCCGGGCUUGGGUGAAGUUUUCUGAGAUGCUCAAAAUUCCAAAUGUAAAAAAAGUUAUUUCAAAAAGAAGUUUUUUUCCAAAAAAAUAAGAAAAAAUAAUUUUAUUUAAACAUAAAUAAAUGGUGUCAUAUUUAGAUUCCUCACAUUUUUAUGAUAAUAAUGGAUAUAUUAUUUGUCGAAUUUCGAUUUACAUAUUUAAAGAUAUUAAUUAUGCCAUAUUAAAUGAAUAAAUGGCAAAAAAGAAUAAAAUAUUAGGUUGUUUUCAUUGAAAUUCACUAUUAUGAUUACUUUUUUUGUUUACUUUAAUAAUUGUUUAGAAUUCAAUAAAUUAAAUCAUGUGACAUGACAUCAAGACCCUAGGUUGUUUAGGAUUGAUAGCUUAGUAUUGUCACGAAAACAACAAGUGCAGACUUGGCAACUAGGGACGAUAGAACGAGAAAGUUAAGCGUGCACGGGCUGAAGCAGUGAGAGAAUGGGUGACCGGUCGGGAAGUUAGACGAUUUAGAAUAAGUAGAGAUUAAAUUGUCAAAUAAUUCAAAGAUUUGAAAAUUGGAAUAAAAUAUAAAAAAAUAUUCAAAAAUAAAAUUUGUUAAAAAUCAGAAAAAACUACCUUUUCGGGUUAAACAAAAUAAACAAGUGGAGCCUUUAGUCCCGGUUGGUAACACGAACCGGACUAAAGGUCCUCCCUCCACACUCGCCCCCAGCCCCGCCACGUAACUCGGACUAGCAUUAGUCCCGCUUUGUUAGCCCCGGUUCGUGAACCGGGGCUAAUGGCCCAACCGAACCGGUGCUAUAGCCCCUUUUUCUACUAGUGAUAUGUAAUCUGAGCUCAAAUAAACUUCUUAGUUUGCAUCUCUGUAUGUGUGGUUUACUUAGUGCCUUCCCGUCUCCGUCCUAAGCACUGUCGAUAGCCCGCACCGUCUCGUCGCCAGCACCAACUUGGCGAUCCUCUUGUUCUUAUCCUUUUUAUACAAUUUUUUUUAUUAAUUUGUAUGAUUUAGAUAGUUUUCUUACCUGUAUGAUUGUUUGUUAUACAUAGUGCCAUGGUCUUCAUAUCCGUCCCCGUCGGUCCUCGUCCC
This 12667-nucleotide long non-coding RNA is filed under the name Hordeum vulgare. RNAcentral's name for it is "long non-coding RNA (HVUL_LNC005886)". Lineage: Eukaryota; Viridiplantae; Streptophyta; Magnoliopsida; Poales; Poaceae. The record is from RNAcentral.